UAAUAUGAAGCAAACAUAUUGCAUUUAAUUUCGACUUAAAAGUUAGGUUUACAUAAACCCAUAUUAU
This 67-nucleotide transfer RNA is filed under the name Cleridae sp. 3 KM-2017. RNAcentral's name for it is "tRNA-Arg". The record is from RNAcentral. Lineage: Eukaryota; Metazoa; Arthropoda; Insecta; Coleoptera; Cleridae.